RNAcentral lists this ribosomal RNA (424 nucleotides) under uncultured bacterium. Its description in RNAcentral is "bacterial SSU rRNA". It matches the Rfam family "Bacterial small subunit ribosomal RNA", at positions 355 to 776 of the family's 1533-position model. The record is from RNAcentral.
UGAGGAAUAUUGGUCAAUGGGCGAGAGCCUGAACCAGCCAAGUCGCGUGAAGGAUGAAGGCCCUAUGGGUCGUAAACUUCUUUUAUACGGGAAUAACGAGCCUUACGGGUAGGGCGCUGAAUGUACCGUAGGAAUAAGCAUCGGCUAACUCCGUGCCAGCAGCCGCGGUAAUACGGAGGAUGCGAGCGUUAUCCGGAUUUAUUGGGUUUAAAGGGUGCGUAGGUUGCUUGGUAAGUCAGCGGUGAAAACUGAACGCUCAACGUUCAGCGUGCCGUUGAAACUGUCAGGCUUGAGUGCAGUGGCGGCAGGCGGAAUUCGUGGUGUAGCGGUGAAAUGCAUAGAUAUCACGAGGAACUCCGAUUGCGAAGGCAGCUUGCCAUACUGUAACUGACACUGAAGCACGAAGGCGUGGGUAUCAAACAGG